AAAGUCGUAACAAGGUUUCCGUAGGUGAACCUGCGGAAGGAUCAUUUCCAAUCCAAAUCUUUAUCAACCCACUAUGUGCACUGUACAAAUUUUCACCUUUCUGGGAAAAACGAAGCCGGAAAACAACCUCAAAAAGGUUGGUUUCUUACUUCCCGAGUACCAGAAAGACAAAUUUUAUAUUACACCCUGUUUAACCCCAUGUAGAUCUUAUUACAAAAAAUUGUUAAAUACUUGACAACUUUUAACGGUGGAUCUCUUGGCUCGU
Molecule: unclassified non-coding RNA, 265 nt
Filed under: Basidiomycota sp.
Lineage: Eukaryota; Fungi; Basidiomycota
Description: partial contains small subunit ribosomal RNA, internal transcribed spacer 1, and 5.8S ribosomal RNA
Rfam family: Eukaryotic small subunit ribosomal RNA (bases 1-47)
Source: RNAcentral